Molecule: ribosomal RNA, 635 nt
Filed under: Curtobacterium sp. Ri1Pt_3806
Lineage: Bacteria; Bacillati; Actinomycetota; Actinomycetes; Micrococcales; Microbacteriaceae
Also listed under: 8 other names
Description: bacterial SSU rRNA
Rfam family: Bacterial small subunit ribosomal RNA
Source: RNAcentral
CCUGAUGCAGCAACGCCGCGUGAGGGAUGACGGCCUUCGGGUUGUAAACCUCUUUUAGUAGGGAAGAAGCGAAAGUGACGGUACCUGCAGAAAAAGCACCGGCUAACUACGUGCCAGCAGCCGCGGUAAUACGUAGGGUGCAAGCGUUGUCCGGAAUUAUUGGGCGUAAAGAGCUCGUAGGCGGUUUGUCGCGUCUGCUGUGAAAUCCCGAGGCUCAACCUCGGGCUUGCAGUGGGUACGGGCAGACUAGAGUGCGGUAGGGGAGAUUGGAAUUCCUGGUGUAGCGGUGGAAUGCGCAGAUAUCAGGAGGAACACCGAUGGCGAAGGCAGAUCUCUGGGCCGUAACUGACGCUGAGGAGCGAAAGCAUGGGGAGCGAACAGGAUUAGAUACCCUGGUAGUCCAUGCCGUAAACGUUGGGCGCUAGAUGUAGGGACCUUUCCACGGUUUCUGUGUCGUAGCUAACGCAUUAAGCGCCCCGCCUGGGGAGUACGGCCGCAAGGCUAAAACUCAAAGGAAUUGACGGGGGCCCGCACAAGCGGCGGAGCAUGCGGAUUAAUUCGAUGCAACGCGAAGAACCUUACCAAGGCUUGACAUACACCGGAAACGGCCAGAGAUGGUCGCCCCCUUGUGGUCG